RNAcentral lists this transfer RNA (85 nucleotides) under Felis catus (domestic cat). It matches the Rfam family "tRNA". Rfam says of the family: Transfer RNA (tRNA) molecules are approximately 80 nucleotides in length. Their secondary structure includes four short double-helical elements and three loops (D, anti-codon, and T loops). Lineage: Eukaryota; Metazoa; Chordata; Mammalia; Carnivora; Felidae. The record is from Rfam by way of RNAcentral.
GCCUGGCUGGCUCAGUCGGUUGAGCAUCCGACUUUGGCUCAGGUCAUGAUCUCAUGGUUCGUGAGUUCGAGCCCCACAUCGGGCU